Molecule: long non-coding RNA, 202 nt
Filed under: Lathyrus oleraceus (garden pea)
Lineage: Eukaryota; Viridiplantae; Streptophyta; Magnoliopsida; Fabales; Fabaceae
Description: Pisum sativum (pea) long non-coding RNA (PSAT_LNC028012)
Source: RNAcentral
AAAAGAAACGGGGUUGGUAGUUUUUGAGGAAGAAGAGGAAAAGCACCUUUUUUUUGUCCUUUCCUUCUUUUUUUAUUUUCAUUUAUCCUAUUUUCUUUUUAUCAUUACCGUUGGAGGAUGAGAGAGUGUUGAGUGCGUGAGAGAUUAGCCUUUAGCUCUCAACCACUUUUAAUUCUUUCCUCCUCUCAUCAAUUGACACGUG